AGUGAAAAGCGAAAAGUUCAAACUCUUCAAACAGGAGCAACAAGCUCAGUUACGUGACGGCUAAAACUCUACUUGGAUAUUUAAGAGAACCAAGACAAUUAUAUAAGAGAACUAAGGCAACAAGAAACUCUUCUUCAAGUUGUUAGGUAUUAUUUUCUUUCUUGCUUGUAAGAAUUAUGUACAUUGAGGAUUUGAUGUAUUAUUUACAUUGAGAAUAAUGAAUUUUUAUUGAGAAUUAUUUAGUCUCAUGGGGAUUUGAUGUAUUAUUUACAUUUUAAUUGUAUGAAUAAAUGUUGUAUGUAUAUGAAUUUUUAUUAUGAUAAAAAUAA
This is a long non-coding RNA of Humulus lupulus (European hop), 329 nucleotides long. RefSeq lists it as uncharacterized. NCBI's taxonomy places the organism in Eukaryota, Viridiplantae, Streptophyta, Magnoliopsida, Rosales, Cannabaceae. The record is from RefSeq and is a predicted model, not a curated record. The transcript is spliced from 2 exons.